RNAcentral lists this small RNA (29 nucleotides) under Bombyx mori (domestic silkworm). RNAcentral's name for it is "piRNA piR-bmo-1344873". Lineage: Eukaryota; Metazoa; Arthropoda; Insecta; Lepidoptera; Bombycidae. The record is from RNAcentral.
UCUCUGUAGUCGCCGAUGCUCGGAGCUCC